RNAcentral lists this unclassified non-coding RNA (227 nucleotides) under Hevea brasiliensis (rubber tree). Lineage: Eukaryota; Viridiplantae; Streptophyta; Magnoliopsida; Malpighiales; Euphorbiaceae. The record is from RNAcentral.
GAACCAUAUCCCUGAGAUUGAAUAGCGUAAUCAAAUGCCGACUGGAGAGAUUCAAGGCGAUUCUUAAGCACAUCGGGAAAGCGCACAAUAAGAGGAAGCUGCAAGCCGAGACCGCCAGAGCAAAUCGGAUCUGAAGCCUUCUUCACAAUUUUGAGCAAAUCAAUCUCCUGAUGGGGCAAAGUAGCUGUCCCAUAAGGACGAACAGCCAUAUUCCCAGAACCAUUGAC